UAUUAUUAGACAAGGAAAGGAGAGUUACUAAGGUAGUAGUUAAAAAAUUAAUGAAAUUUAAAAAAUUUGGCGGUAUUUUAGUCUUUUCAGAGGAAUCUGUUCUGUAAUUGAUAAUACACGAUUAGAAAAACUUGGUUUUGUAUUCAGUUUAUAUACCGCCGUCGUAAGAUUAUUUUGAUAAGAAUUAAAAAUUUCUGGUUUAAUCAAUAUUUAUUAUGUCAGGUCAAGGUGUAGCUUAUAACUAAGGAGAAAUGGAUUACAAUAUAAUUAUAUAAAUGGAUUAAUAUUUUUAAGAUUUUAUGAAGGUGGAUUUGAUUGUAAAUUUGUAAUUAAAAAUUGAUUUGAGCUCUAAAAUAUGCACACAUCGCCCGUCGCUCUCGUUUAUUAAAAUGAG
RNAcentral lists this ribosomal RNA (394 nucleotides) under Thetella sp. Mau. RNAcentral's name for it is "partial 12S ribosomal RNA". The record is from RNAcentral. Lineage: Eukaryota; Metazoa; Arthropoda; Insecta; Orthoptera; Trigonidiidae.